GAUCUAGCCAUGGGCAGGUUGAAGGUUGGGUAACACUAACUGGAGGACCGAACCGACUAAUGUUGAAAAAUUAGCGGAUGACCUGUGGCUGGGGGUGAAAGGCCAAUCAAACCGGGAGAUAGCUGGUUCUCCCCGAAAGCUAUUUAGGUAGCGCCUCGUGAAUUCAUCUCCGGGGGUAGAGCACUGUUUCGGCUAGGGGGCCAUCCCGGCUUACCAACCCGAUGCAAACUGCGAAUACCGGAGAAUGUUAUCACGGGAGACACACGGCGGGUGCUAACGUCCGUCGUGAAGAGGGAAACAACCCAGACCGCCAGCUAAGGUCCCAAAGUCAUGGUUAAGUGGGAAACGAUGUGGGAAGGCCCAGACAGCCAGGAUGUUGGCUUAGAAGCAGCCAUCAUUUAAAGAAAGCGUAAUAGCUCACUGGUCGAGUCGGCCUGCGCGGAAGAUGUAACGGGGCUAAACCAUGCACCGAAGCUGCGGCAGCGACACUGUGUGUUGUUGGGUA
Molecule: ribosomal RNA, 505 nt
Filed under: Salmonella enterica
Lineage: Bacteria; Pseudomonadati; Pseudomonadota; Gammaproteobacteria; Enterobacterales; Enterobacteriaceae
Also listed under: 1 other name
Description: partial 23S ribosomal RNA
Rfam family: Bacterial large subunit ribosomal RNA
Source: RNAcentral